RNAcentral lists this ribosomal RNA (482 nucleotides) under uncultured bacterium. Its description in RNAcentral is "partial 16S ribosomal RNA". It matches the Rfam family "Bacterial small subunit ribosomal RNA", at positions 30 to 507 of the family's 1533-position model. The record is from RNAcentral.
AUUGAACGCUGGCGGCAUGCCUUACACAUGCAAGUCGAACGGUAACGGGCCUUCGGGUGCCGACGAGUGGCGAACGGGUGAGUAAUACAUCGGAACGUGCCCGAUCGUGGGGGAUAACGAGGCGAAAGCUUUGCUAAUACCGCAUACGAGCUACGGAUGAAAGCAGGGGACCGCAAGGCCUUGCGCGGGCGGGGCGGCCGAUGGCAGAUUAGGUAGUUGGUGGGAUAAAAGCUUACCAAGCCGACGAUCUGUAGCUGGUCUGAGAGGAUGAUCAGCCACACUGGGACUGAGACACGGCCCAGACUCCUACGGGAGGCAGCAGUGGGGAAUUUUGGACAAUGGGCGCAAGCCUGAUCCAGCCAUGCCGCGUGCAGGAUGAAGGCCUUCGGGUUGUAAACUGCUUUUGUACGGAACGAAAAGCCUUCUUUUAAUACAGGAGGGUCAUGACGGUACCGUAAGAAUAAGCACCGGCUAACUACGUG